This 69-nucleotide transfer RNA is filed under the name Toxorhynchites amboinensis. RNAcentral's name for it is "tRNA-Leu". Lineage: Eukaryota; Metazoa; Arthropoda; Insecta; Diptera; Culicidae. RNAcentral also lists the same sequence under 1 other name. The record is from RNAcentral.
ACUGUUUUGGCAGAAUAGUGCAAUAAAUUUAGAAUUUAUAUAAAUAAUAUUUUAUUAUUAUAAAUAGUA